CUUGUGCCCCUCUGGCUGGAGCCCUAGGCACUUUGAGAGGAAUAACAGGACGCAGUGGGGCUUUCCUGAAGUCUUUAAUAUGAUGUUCCAAGAGAAAGAGACACGUUGUCUGGAAGCCAGUGGCCUCAGCCCACCAAGAUAUCUGCUGUUACAGACUUGUGAGUUGCAGUUGUAGCUGUGAGUUGUAAAGAUGUGAGCGUUCUUAAAACUUCUCAUUCGGUCCAUGGUAGACUAGGUUAAUGAAUCACAAAAGAGCUGAUCCUGAUGAAUGGACGUGACCCAGAUAUCCGGGACCCCAUGCUGUCUGCAGGAGGUGGAUAAGACCUCCGGGAAAGGAUCUCUGCUGCUCUUGACAGUACAACCUUCUUUAGGGGAAAUGCUCCUCCCUCAAUUCUCCUGAUACAGGUCUGAGAGUUUGGCUCUCUCACACACACACACACACACACACACACACACACACGAGGAUAGGUGGU
Molecule: long non-coding RNA, 473 nt
Organism: Bubalus bubalis (water buffalo)
Lineage: Eukaryota; Metazoa; Chordata; Mammalia; Artiodactyla; Bovidae
Exons: 3
Source: RefSeq, a predicted model, not a curated record